AGCAUGUGGUUUAAUUCGAUGGUACGCGAGGAACCUUACCAGGGCUUGACAUACGUUGGAAGCGCAUCGAAAGGUGCGUGCCGCUUGCGGCCGGCGUACAGGUGCUGCAUGGCUGUCGUCAGCUCGUGCUGUGAAGUGUUGGGUUAAGUCCCGCAAACGAGCGCAACCCCUGCUGCCUGUUGCCACCACGAGAGGUGGGGACUCAGGCGGGACCGCCGGUGACAAACCGGAGGAAGGUGGGGACGACGUCAAGUCAUCAUGGCCCUUAUGUCCUGGGCUACACACGUGCUACAAUGGCCGGUACAGAGCGCAGCGAGGCCGCGAGGCGGAGCGAAUCGCUUAAAGCCGGUCCCAGUACGGAUUGGAGUCUGCAACCCGACUCCAUGAAGUUGGAAUCGCUAGUAAUCGCGCAUCAGCAUGGCGCGGUGAAUACGUUCCCGGGCCUU
This 446-nucleotide ribosomal RNA is filed under the name uncultured Spirochaeta sp. RNAcentral's name for it is "bacterial SSU rRNA". It matches the Rfam family "Bacterial small subunit ribosomal RNA", at positions 936 to 1382 of the family's 1533-position model. Lineage: Bacteria; Pseudomonadati; Spirochaetota; Spirochaetia; Spirochaetales; Spirochaetaceae. The record is from RNAcentral.